GACGAACGCUGGCGGUGUGCUUAACACAUGCAAGUCGAACGGAAAGGCCCUGCUUUUGUGGGGUGCUCGAGUGGCGAACGGGUGAGUAACACGUGAGUAACCUGCCCUUGACUUUGGGAUAACUUCAGGAAACUGGGGCUAAUACCGGAUAGGAGCUCCUGCUGCAUGGUGGGGGUUGGAAAGUUUCGGCGGUUGGGGAUGGACUCGCGGCUUAUCAGCUUGUUGGUGGGGUAGUGGCUUACCAAGGCUUUGACGGGUAGCCGGCCUGAGAGGGUGACCGGCGACAUUGGGACUGAGAUACGGCCCAGACUCCUACGGGAGGCAGCAGUGGGGAAUAUUGCACAAUGGGCGGAAGCCUGAUGCAGCAACGCCGCGUGCGGGAUGACGGCCUUCGGGUUGUAAACCGAUUUCGCCUGUGACGAAGCGUGAGUGACGGUAAUGGGUAAAGAAGCACCGGCUAACUACGUG
This 468-nucleotide ribosomal RNA is filed under the name uncultured bacterium. RNAcentral's name for it is "partial 16S ribosomal RNA". It matches the Rfam family "Bacterial small subunit ribosomal RNA", at positions 28 to 507 of the family's 1533-position model. The record is from RNAcentral.